CCUACGGGAGGCAGCAGUGGGGAAUAUUGGACAAUGGGCGAAAGCCUGAUCCAGCCAUGCCGCGUGUGUGAAGAAGGCCUUCGGGUUGUAAAGCACUUUCAGUGGGGAAGAAAGCCUUGGGGCUAAUACCCUCGAGGAAGGACAUCACCCACAGAAGAAGCACCGGCUAACUCCGUGCCAGCAGCCGCGGUAAUACGGAGGGUGCGAGCGUUAAUCGGAAUUACUGGACGUAAAGCGCGCGUAGGCGGUCUGAUAAGCCGGUUGUGAAAGCCCCGGGCUCAACCUGGGAACGGCAUCCGGAACUGUCAGGCUAGAGUGCAGGAGAGGAAGGUAGAAUUCCCGGUGUAGCGGUGAAAUGCGUAGAGAUCGGGAGGAAUACCAGUGGCGAAGGCGGUCUUCUGGACUGACACUGACGCUGAGGUGCGAAAGCGUGGGUAGCAAACAGGAUUAGAUACCCUUGUAGUC
This 465-nucleotide ribosomal RNA is filed under the name Vreelandella stevensii. Its description in RNAcentral is "partial 16S ribosomal RNA". It matches the Rfam family "Bacterial small subunit ribosomal RNA", at positions 338 to 795 of the family's 1533-position model. The record is from RNAcentral. Lineage: Bacteria; Pseudomonadati; Pseudomonadota; Gammaproteobacteria; Oceanospirillales; Halomonadaceae.